Molecule: long non-coding RNA, 925 nt
Organism: Ochotona curzoniae (black-lipped pika)
Lineage: Eukaryota; Metazoa; Chordata; Mammalia; Lagomorpha; Ochotonidae
Exons: 2
Source: RefSeq, a predicted model, not a curated record
UAUUCCAGAACACUUUGUACUUGUCACACAUGCAGGUAUUCUAUUAGGAAGCGCGUUGCAGUUACCGUUCCUGUAGAUUUAGUUUCGGUGCUUUCAUCUCCUGGCUGUGCUCUAGUUUUCUCAUUUGAACCACAGUGUCUGUAACAGCUAGUGGUGGGUUUUCUUUUAAAAUACAUUUCAAAACUUGGAGUUAACCACCGAAUGUGAAGAGAUUUUGAUUCAGGGAGGAAGAUGAUAUUGGUGCUUCAGUUCUCCUCAUCUUCUUUAAUAUUCCAGAAGAGCUUGCUCUUGGGGGAUCAUGUAAGUUACCCCCAACAGUUGAGAACUUGGAUUUCAACUUCACGAUUGCUUGUCAAGGAAAGAGAAAGGAGCUUCAGAGUAACUCGGACUCCUCUGUAGGUGAGUGUUCUGCCCGAGCACACACCUGGGACAGAGCUGUCCUGUCGGGAAUGUGCAGAGCUCGUUCUGUGGGCUUUGCUGCUUCCCUGGGCUUGGACUGUCCUCCCAGUGCGUGCAGGGGAGACUGGCCAGUGUGGAGCUUUGCUGGCCUCCCAGCUGGUCACUGGCCUGUGGUGCGUUCUCUCCCUGCAGCCACCCUCUCUCAUCUCCACAGCCCUCUGCUGGCUGUGGACGGCCUGUCCUAGACCCUUUCCGCCUCUUUCAGUCUCCCUUUCUCAGUAAAAACCCUGGAGGUCAAAAUUAUCUUCCUGACAAUAAUGCUAAGAUGUUAUUUGCUCUUUUCACAACUGCUGUUUGUGAAUGAUUAUAUGAAAGGAUUAGGGUGGAAAACUGCUGACACAAUGGCUGCAGGUACUACGAGGGAUAAAAGACCACUUUUACUUCAGAAUGUCCUUGAUGAAGCAGCAAAAUCGUUUUAUUUAAAGCAUGUGUGGAUUUUAUCCAUUUUCUAUGAUGAAUUUCAUAG